RNAcentral lists this long non-coding RNA (1116 nucleotides) under Lotus japonicus. RNAcentral's name for it is "long non-coding RNA (LJAP_LNC000676)". Lineage: Eukaryota; Viridiplantae; Streptophyta; Magnoliopsida; Fabales; Fabaceae. The record is from RNAcentral.
UAGAAGUUUAAUGAUCUGCCUAUCAAUUUUAAAAAGAAUAAUUGAUCUAUCUAUCGUAAUCUUAAGAUAUCUCCUUCUUGCACUCUGCAACAUCAGACAUAUUAGAAAAGUGAAGGAAAAAAGCUGACGGGAAACACAAGUGGUGUGUGGUGCAUUGUUAGAUAAAUUUUAUAGAAGCAUAAAAGAGGAUACAUGCUCAUAGGAUAUCAAUUUAUAACAAAAUCAAUAUGAUGUGAUAAUUUAUAAAAAUCAUAAUCACAAAUUGAUAAAAACCAAUUAAUUGCCAAUGGCACAACCGGCUUCGAAUCCUCCUUACCAGUUGGUGGGAAACCCUCCUCGAGGAGUUCUUCUGACGCUCCUACCUAAGAGUGGACCUCUACUGACCUCCCUAGCAUGUCACUAACGUCCUGCUCGGUAGUCUGGAUGUGCUUUCUCUCUGUUCUACCAUUUUUUAACAAUUUUUUUUUUGAUAAAAACCAAUUUAAUAUAUUGAAUAUAAUCCACCAAUGGAUAAAAAAGCACACUAACCUUGAAAUUCUAGCACACAUUUCAGAAGCAAAAGCUAGAAUUUUAAUUUUCCUGCACCUGGAAAUAAAAACUGAAAAAAAUAAGGAUCCAUUACAAAGUGAAAACAACAAAAUUACUAUACUAUAGAUGACUUAAAAUAAUACUCACAUUCUAUACAGAAAGUACUAAAAGCCACACUAAGUGUAAUUUCAAAUUCCAAAUGGAACGAAACAUCCUUUAGUUUAAUACCACAAUGAACAAUAUAUAUCCUGCAAAAGUAUGUAUGGUAAAAAGUAAUGGAUUAAAGAACUCUCUAUUGUAAAGUAGUAGAUUGUUCUCAACUCACAACUUAAAAAAUAAUAGUGAGGAAGAUCCAAGGCAAUUUGAAAACUAAUGCACCAAGUACUGUGAUGAGAACAACACAUGGCGAGUGAAGAUUAAUGACAAUGACAAAAAAGAAGGUGGUGCAGUGAAUAAGUGGUAGUGAAUAUUUUCACAUGGCUAUAUAUAGAGUUCUUUGGACUCAAUAUUGUAAGAAGAAGGUGAAAGAUGAAAGCUGCAUCUAAGAGAAAAUGAAAGGGCAAAGAGAAGAGGAAAGAUGAAACUUGC